UGACUGCCCUAUGGGUUGUAAACUGCUUUUGUGGGGGAUAACACCGUCCACGUGCUGGAGGUCUGCAGGUACCGCGCGAAUAAGGACCGGCUAAUUCCGUGCCAGCAGCCGCGGUAAUACGGAAGGUCCGGGCGUUAUCCGGAUUUAUUGGGUUUAAAGGGAGCGUAGGCCGUGAGGUAAGCGUGUUGUGAAAUGUAGGCGCCCAACGUCUGCACUGCAGCGCGAACUGCCCCACUUGAGUGCGCGCAACGCCGGCGGAACUCGUCGUGUAGCGGUGAAAUGCUUAGAUAUGACGAAGAACCCCGAUUGCGAAGGCAGCUGGCGGGAGCGUAACUGACGCUGAAGCUCGAAAGCGCGGGUAUCGAACAGGAUUAGAUACCCUGGUAGUCCGCGCGGUAAACGAUGGAUGCCCGCUGUGGCGCGCCUGGCGUGCCGCGGCUAAGCGAAAGCAUUAAGCAUCCCACCUGGGGAGUACGCCGGCAACGGUGAAACUCAAAGGAAUUGACGG
RNAcentral lists this ribosomal RNA (508 nucleotides) under uncultured bacterium. Its description in RNAcentral is "bacterial SSU rRNA". It matches the Rfam family "Bacterial small subunit ribosomal RNA", at positions 409 to 916 of the family's 1533-position model. The record is from RNAcentral.